Alosa alosa (allis shad) is the source of this 677-nucleotide long non-coding RNA. RefSeq lists it as uncharacterized. Lineage: Eukaryota; Metazoa; Chordata; Actinopteri; Clupeiformes; Clupeidae. The record is from RefSeq and is a predicted model, not a curated record. The transcript has 5 exons.
AAUCCAGAAAUACUUCAAGAGAAAAUGUUAACAGAGGCAAAAGCAUUUCAGCAGAAGAAUCCAACCUAUCCCCACCCCAGAACUGAUCCUCUGACAUCAUUUUCUGCUGGUAUUACAUAAGCUACCCACCUAAGUGAGAGCAAGUGAGAGCAAGGGCCACAUCAAUUUUGUACAUGACUACUCUUUGAAAGGAAGAGAAGAACUGGACCACCUACUGUUUGUGCAACAGGGAUCACUGCAUUCAAGUUAUACACAUGAGGGGGGAUCCCGCAACAUGAUCUCAGCUAGAGACACAGCAAAACCUCCUCUGCUCCUCUUCCAGAACCUCAAGGGGCGAAUCAGACAAAACAAUAUUACAACCCCUCAAUACAGAUGGCUUAACAGAAAUAAACCGUGAUGCAGGAAUAGAGGGGAUGCAGGCAAACCAAUGAGUCACUGUUGCAAAAACAUCAAUGAGAUCUUCAGUCCAGCUUACCAUGUGAGGACACUGUCAGUCAUCUUUGGCUCACCAAGCCAAACCACAAGUUCCUCUGCAAGACAUCGACAAAGGACCUUGUGUUGCACCACCCACAUGGGCCAAAACUGUUAUUAAAAUGCAAGCACCAAACAUAACAUACAUUCGUUAUUUCAUAUAUAGGGACUACAUGUUAGCACAAAGAGAUGAUGGGUAAAUGAAU